GCCACCUAGAACUCGAAAAAGUGAGCUCUUACCACUACCAUUUGGACCUGUAAUUAACAGAUUAGAUCCUGAUUCAACCUUAAGAGUCAGAUCUUCCACCAAAACAUUACCAGUUGGGGUGACAACCUUGACNNACUCAACAUAAUCAGCUUCACUAAAGUAAUUCCUACUUCCACUUCUUUGCAGAGAAGUUUUAUCAUCGCAGUUUAGCUCUCUUGAUAUUACUAUUAACUCAUGAAUGCGAUCAGCA
Molecule: unclassified non-coding RNA, 250 nt
Filed under: Hevea brasiliensis (rubber tree)
Lineage: Eukaryota; Viridiplantae; Streptophyta; Magnoliopsida; Malpighiales; Euphorbiaceae
Source: RNAcentral